Molecule: long non-coding RNA, 1162 nt
Filed under: Equus asinus (donkey)
Lineage: Eukaryota; Metazoa; Chordata; Mammalia; Perissodactyla; Equidae
Description: lncRNA (ENSEASG00005038633.1)
Source: RNAcentral
CGCGGAAGGAGCCGAGCCUGCCUGGAGCCAGAGCUUCUCGGCUGGCACUGCAGACAAGCAGCUGCUGCCACAGCAAACCACAGAGCAACAAGCAGCCCGCCUUGCGCAAGUACAUAGUUGUAUGUUCUAGUUGUGAGCGCCUCUGGUUGUGCUAUGUGGGACACCGCCUCAACAUGGCCUGAUGAGUGGUGCCAUGUCCACGAGCAGGAUCCAAACUGGCGAAACCCUGGGCCACCGAAGCAGAGCGCGCGAACUUAACCACCACGGGGCCGGCCCGCUGGCGUUUCCAUCUUUGUGCUUCUCAGAGAGCGCAGUCAGCGUGCGUGGCAUUCACCCUGUGCUGCUGUAGCUCCUGAAGACACGAUGAUGAGAAAAACAGGCGUGGUCCCCACCCUCGCAGAGCCUCCUUUCCUGAGGGGAAGAUGCAGAUGUGGGAAACCAGGGAAAGCGGAGAAAUGGCAUCUCAACCAUUCUGUGGAGGAGAAGAGAGGGAAGUUCACUGGACAAAGGACCGCUGGAAGCAGGCAGAAGGGGCACGGACUCCACGUGGAGGAGCAGCGUCUCGGACGCCCUCGAACCGCCCUUCCUGUGUCCAUGCCUGGGAGCUAGAAGCCGGCCACCAGUGCACGUGACUUGAGAAAGAGCCCACGGCGGUAAAGAGUGUGGAGCAUCUGCCAGAACUAAAGGAGCGUGAUGAUGACCAGACUCAGCAGGCCCCGUGGGACCGGGCAUCCAACUGCCUUCACAGUUGGUGGCAGCUUCAGAAACGUUGUUCCCUGAAUCCACAUGCAUCCAUUUUCCAGGGCACAAAACCAGCCUGGGAAGGUCCCCAUGACACCACCAACAGGCGUUAUUACCACCUGGAGGACCCCUGACUACACUGUUGUUGCCCAACCUUUUGAACCAUAUGGCCUCCUGUGUAAAUAUAAAAAUACGUUAAGCAUCAGGAUUCAAACCCAACCAAACCCAACCAAAGGGUUCUGAUUUGAUCUGGAAAAGCAUUUUGCCUGAAUGGUGACAGCAGCAUGAACUGGUGGCAUGCAGCAUGGGAGAGGGCCAUUGAGGCCAUUUUGACGUGAAGGCCACUGUGUCUUUGAGCCACAGGUGACCUCCCCAAGACUGUGACCCGCGUUCCCCUCACCGCCACCAGUGAGAUGACCCU